RNAcentral lists this ribosomal RNA (253 nucleotides) under uncultured bacterium. RNAcentral describes it as "partial 16S ribosomal RNA". It matches the Rfam family "Bacterial small subunit ribosomal RNA", at positions 524 to 776 of the family's 1533-position model. The record is from RNAcentral.
GACGAACCGGACAAACGUUAUUCGGAAUUACUGGGCUUAAAGGGUUCGUAGGCGGCCAUGUAAGUGAGGUGUGAAAUCCCUCGGCUCAACCGAGGAACUGCGCUUCAUACUGCAUGGCUUGAGGGAGACAGGGGUAAGCGGAACUGAUGGUGGAGCGGUGAAAUGCGUUGAUAUCAUCAGGAACACCGGUGGCGAAAGCGGCUUACUGGGUCUCUUCUGACGCUGAGGAACGAAAGCUAGGGUAGCGAACGGG